AUGAGGAAGGGGUACACAGGUGGCUGCAUGGCAUCUUUGAAGAGAAAGACAGACUUCUUCAAGAUUUCUACUCAACUGAUCCAAGCAAGCGAGGGCGCCUUGGUGACAAUGGUGGAGUCUCUAAACUGAGCCUGAAAAAGACACUACCAGCUCUUCUGUUUUCAUGCGGAAUUGGAAUACCAAUAUUUUUAACAAAGCCUUGCCGAGAUCUGUACUGGCAAAUAUGGCUGUUUGGAACAUUAUUCUGUAGUCUGUACAUGCGUUCAACAACAUAAAAUUUAAAAGUGUAAAACAAAUAUGGUGUCUCAAAGGAUGUUUAUGAAUAACCAACUGUUGUCGUCCAGUGCCAGUGACAAAUAUUCAGAUUCAGAUAUCAUUUAUUAUGAUAAGGCAAUCCAUAUGGAAUACUUUUACAAACUUGGAAUGAAUUACAAACGACACUUAAUAAAAUACAAUGCAAAAUGCUAACAACAGAUACGGAUAUUAAUUAUUAAAAUUAUACUGUAUAUAGUAAUAAAGUUUUAAAAAUAUA
This is a long non-coding RNA of Anneissia japonica, 532 nucleotides long. RefSeq lists it as uncharacterized. The record is from RefSeq and is a predicted model, not a curated record. NCBI's taxonomy places the organism in Eukaryota, Metazoa, Echinodermata, Crinoidea, Comatulida, Comatulidae. The transcript is spliced from 2 exons.